This 467-nucleotide ribosomal RNA is filed under the name Alteromonas macleodii. Its description in RNAcentral is "bacterial SSU rRNA". It matches the Rfam family "Bacterial small subunit ribosomal RNA", at positions 13 to 477 of the family's 1533-position model. The record is from RNAcentral. Lineage: Bacteria; Pseudomonadati; Pseudomonadota; Gammaproteobacteria; Alteromonadales; Alteromonadaceae.
UUGAUCAUGGCUCAGAUUGAACGCUGGCGGCAGGCCUAACACAUGCAAGUCGAACGGUAACAUUUCUAGCUUGCUAGAAGAUGACGAGUGGCGGACGGGUGAGUAAUGCUUGGGAACUUGCCUUUGCGAGGGGGAUAACAGUUGGAAACGACUGCUAAUACCGCAUAAUGUCUUCGGACCAAACGGGGCUUCGGCUCCGGCGCAAAGAGAGGCCCAAGUGAGAUUAGCUAGUUGGUAAGGUAACGGCUUACCAAGGCGACGAUCUCUAGCUGUUCUGAGAGGAAGAUCAGCCACACUGGGACUGAGACACGGCCCAGACUCCUACGGGAGGCAGCAGUGGGGAAUAUUGCACAAUGGGGGAAACCCUGAUGCAGCCAUGCCGCGUGUGUGAAGAAGGCCUUCGGGUUGUAAAGCACUUUCAGUUGUGAGGAAAAGUUAGUAGUUAAUACCUGCUAGAAAUGACGUUA